AGCCACGCCGUGAGCACAAAGCGAACUAUUCUUUCGCCUUUUACUAAAGAAUACCGUGUGCUCACUGCAUUAAGUGGCAUACGUUUAUUUUUGAAGGAAGCCAUUAAGGUUAAAUGGGU
Molecule: small nuclear RNA, 119 nt
Organism: Amaranthus tricolor (Joseph's coat)
Lineage: Eukaryota; Viridiplantae; Streptophyta; Magnoliopsida; Caryophyllales; Amaranthaceae
Product: U5 spliceosomal RNA
Exons: 1
Source: RefSeq, a predicted model, not a curated record